Molecule: ribosomal RNA, 253 nt
Filed under: uncultured bacterium
Lineage: Bacteria
Description: partial 16S ribosomal RNA
Rfam family: Bacterial small subunit ribosomal RNA
Source: RNAcentral
GACAGAGGGUGCAAACGUUGUUCGGAAUUACUGGGCGUAAAGCGCACGUAGGCGGCUUUGUAAGUUAGAGGUGAAAGCCCGGGGCUCAACUCCGGAAUUGCCUUUAAGACUGCAUCGCUCGAAUUGUGGAGAGGUAAGUGGAAUUCCGAGUGUAGAGGUGAAAUUCGUAGAUAUUCGGAAGAACACCAGUGGCGAAGGCGACUUACUGGACACAUAUUGACGCUGAGGUGCGAAAGCGUGGGGAGCAAACAGG